This is a long non-coding RNA of Sinocyclocheilus rhinocerous, 872 nucleotides long. RefSeq lists it as uncharacterized. The transcript is spliced from 5 exons. NCBI's taxonomy places the organism in Eukaryota, Metazoa, Chordata, Actinopteri, Cypriniformes, Cyprinidae. The record is from RefSeq and is a predicted model, not a curated record.
ACAGUCGUGGUUGGCUGCAGACUGUCCAAACCUCAGAAUCCUGUCUGUUGAGUAUGACACCCAUUUAAGUGACUGGAAGGCUAAGUGUCCUGCUGAAAACCAAAGGAAGUCCUUGGCCUACAGAAGUCAGGAACUGCUGAGGAAAUUGAAGGAUGCAGGUGUAGGGGACAGACCUGUGGUGUGGGUAGCCCACAGUAUGGGAGGUUAGUCCAUGGUUUACUUGUGAAAAAGAUGCUCUUAGAUGCCUCUAAAGAUCCUGAUCUCAGUCCGCUGAUCAAGAACACAAAGGGAAUUCUGUUCUACAGCGUUCCUCAUCACGGCACGUUCAUGGCAGAGUAUUCUGUAAAUGUCCGAUACCUACUGUUUCCCUCCAUUGAAGUAAAAGAACUAUGUAGAGCGUUACGGGACUUGAAUGAAAAUUUCCUGAACAUUGCAAAGGAACAAGAGUUCAAGGUCCUUAGCUUUGCAGAAACUCUACCAACCUACAUUGGGCCAAUGCUCAAAAUAUUGGUAGUUCCAUCGCAGUCAGCAGAUCUGGGUAUUGGGGACCUCAUCCAGGUGGAUGUUGAUCACCUCAACACCUGCAAGCCAGAAAAAAAAGACUAAUUUCUCUAUAAACGUACUUUACAGUUUAUUCGAGAUGCUUUUGGAGGACAGAGAAUUAAAUGAACUCUUAAGUCCACAGUCCAAAACCGGUCUCUUGCCAUUUCAUUGCCUCUUGAGGGUUCAACAAUUACAUUUUAAAAGAUAGUGUUAACUAUGAAUAGAAGGAAGUUCUAAAAUUGCAACUGGAUUUUUCUUUUCAUUUUUUUAAUUCAAUAAAGCCAUUAUGAAUAUGCUUUUUGUUAAAACCUCUGGGUUUAACUUUUAAU